Non-coding RNA from Nicotiana tabacum (common tobacco), 360 nucleotides. The record is from RefSeq and is a predicted model, not a curated record. NCBI's taxonomy places the organism in Eukaryota, Viridiplantae, Streptophyta, Magnoliopsida, Solanales, Solanaceae.
UAAACCCGUGCACUUCCCUUUGGAGCUUGUGUUUGGACGUGAAUUACUUGCCUCUCCCUCUUCCGAGGUUAAGAGGUAUGAACUCGUUGCGACGAUCACUCAUCAUGGAAGGGACCCUUCAAAGGGUCAUUAUACAGCCGAUGCCCGUCAUCCAAGUGGCAAGUGGCUGCGUUACGAUGAUGUGUCAGUCACAGUCAUCCCCAAAAGCUCGGUGCUGCAUGAUCAAGCGUACGUUCUCUUCUACAAACAGUUGUAACUUGUAUUUGGUACUUUCAAGUUGCACUAAAUUGGUUCAACAAUGAAAAAAGAGAGAUUAGGGAAUAUAUUCUUGUACAUGUAUAAGAAAAGUUCAAUAGAUAA